Long non-coding RNA from Dreissena polymorpha, 1362 nucleotides. RefSeq lists it as uncharacterized. Lineage: Eukaryota; Metazoa; Mollusca; Bivalvia; Myida; Dreissenidae. The record is from RefSeq and is a predicted model, not a curated record. The transcript is spliced from 2 exons.
UUAUACGCCCGUCUAUGACGGGACGUAUUAUGGUAUACCCCGCGUCCGUCCGUCCGUCCGUCUGUUAAUGUCGUACGCUACGUCAAAUAUCCUUUGACAGAUUUUCUUCAAAUUUUAACACAAUCUUAAUAUUGAUAAACCCUGAUCCCCUUUCGUUUUUGACGGAAUUCUGAAUUGUCGUUCCAGAGUUAUGGGACUUUGUUCGUCAAAAUUUCGUGAUUUCAUUGAAUGUCCUACUGUAGCUAUAUAAAAAUGUUAAAGUUGUUAUAACUUUGGUAUGCUUGGACCUAGAGUCUUGAAACUUGACAUGAAGGUUGGCCAGAACUAGUAAGUAACCACUGGACAUUUCAAGGUCAUUCAUUUGAAGGUCAAGGUCACUGUGACCUUGAAUGUAAAAAUGUUAAAGUUGUUAUAACUUUGGUAUGCUUGGACCUAGAGUCUUGAAACUUGACAUGAAGGUUGGCCAGAACUAGUAAGUAACCCCUGGACAUUUCAAGGUCAUUCAUUUGAAGGUCAAGGUCACUGUGACCUUGAAUGUAAAAAUGUUAAAGUUCUUAUUUCAUGUUAUAACUUUGGUAUGCUUGUACCUAGAGUCUUCAAACUUGAAAUAAAGAUUGGCCAGUACUAGAAGAUGACCACUGGUCAUUUCAAUGUCAUUCAUUUGAAGGUCAAGGUCACUGUGACCUUAAAUGUUAAAAUGUUAAAAUUGUUAUAACUUUGGUAUGCUUGGACAUAGAGUCUUCAAACUUGACAUGAAGGUUUGCAAGCACACUUAGAUGACCACUGGUCAUUUCAAGGUCAUUCAUUCUCAGGUCAAGGUCACUGUGACCUUAAAUGUUAUUGUUGUUCAUGUAUCCUACCGUAGCUCAAAUAUCCCCCGAUGGAUUUUUUAUACGCCCGUCUAUGACGGGACGUAUUAUGGUAUACCCCGCGUCCGUCUGUCCGUCCGUCCGUCCGUCCGUCCGUCCGUCCGUCUGUUAAUGUCGUACGCUACGUCAAAUAUCCUUUGACAGAUUUUCUUCAAAUUUUAACACAAUCUUAAUAUUGAUAAACCCUGAUCCCCUUUCGUUUUUGACGGAAUUCUGAAUUGUCGUUCCAGAGUUAUGGGACUUUGUUCGUCAAAAUUUCGUGAUUUCAUUGAAUGUCCUACUGUAGCUCAAAUAUCCUUCGAUGGAUUUUUUUCAAAUUUCAACACAAUCUUAAUAUUGAUAAACCCUGAUCCCCUUUCGUUUUUGACGGAAUUCUGAAUUGUCGUUCCAGAGUUAUGGGACUUUGUUCGUCAAAAUUUCGUGAUUUCCAUGCUCAUGUACUUAUAAAAUAAACCAUGUAUUCAAAUACAAAUAAACUGAAGUAAAAAAAUGA